AGAGGCGGGAGAAGAUCGAAAGACGGCAGACGGUGUUGGAGACAGAACUGAAGCUUUGGGACCCUCAUAAUGACCCAAAUGCACAAGGAGAUGCUUUCAAGACCUUGUUUGUUGCGCGAAUUAACUAUGAUACUACAGAGUCCAAGCUUCGACGUGAGUUUGAGGUCUACGGCCCUAUUAAACGGAUCUAUAUUGUCUACAACAAGAGGACAGGAAAGCCUCGUGGUUAUGCUUUUAUCGAGUACGAGCAUGAACGAGACAUGCACUCCGCCAAUCUGUGAUGGCUAUUGGCCAGAGCUGGCUGGCAGAUGAUGAUGGUUAUGAUACAUCUACACCCUACUACCACAGCUCAGUAUAUGGUUGGUAUAAUGGGUUUGUAUGAUGGGUAAGAUUUCUUUCCACCCUCCAUCUCCUACAUAGGGAAGUGGAGCGAAGUUCAAUGGGUAAAGCGUCUUCUUGUUGGCCCUAAAGAGUUUUCCUUUAAUGUAAUCUGGAUUUUAGGCUUUGGCCAUUGAACGCUCGCCUGUUUACUAGUCUGCUAAACAGUUUCCCAAUGAUUUUGCCCUUUGUGUUAAAGCCACUUCAGGUGUUCGAGAGCUUGUGGUUUUCAGAAAAGAAGGCUGCGUGAUGAUGGGGAAACAGAAAUUGUUUUAUAAAACUGUCUGAUCUAGCUGCUGGAAUGUUAAGAUAUACUAUUUCUGUGACAGGAUGCAGCUUUUGGCGUGUAGCAUUAAAUUUCAGGAAGUAUGUUAAAAGUCA
Girardinichthys multiradiatus is the source of this 759-nucleotide long non-coding RNA. RefSeq lists it as uncharacterized. The record is from RefSeq and is a predicted model, not a curated record. The transcript has 5 exons. NCBI's taxonomy places the organism in Eukaryota, Metazoa, Chordata, Actinopteri, Cyprinodontiformes, Goodeidae.